GCCUACGGGGGGCAGCAGUGAGGAAUAUUGGUCAAUGGGCUUACGCCUGAACCAGCCAAGUCGCGUGAGGGAAGACUGCCCUAUGGGUUGUAAACCUCUUUUGUCAGGGAGCAACGCCGGCUACGUGUAGCCGGACUGAGAGUACCUGAAGAAAAAGCAUCGGCUAACUCCGUGCCAGCAGCCGCGGUAAUACGGAGGAUGCGAGCGUUAUCCGGAUUUAUUGGGUUUAAAGGGUGCGUAGGCGGACGCUUAAGUCAGCGGUAAAAUUGCGGGGCUCAACCUCAUCGAGCCGUUGAAACUGGGUG
This 305-nucleotide ribosomal RNA is filed under the name uncultured bacterium. Its description in RNAcentral is "bacterial SSU rRNA". It matches the Rfam family "Bacterial small subunit ribosomal RNA", at positions 337 to 639 of the family's 1533-position model. The record is from RNAcentral.